This 84-nucleotide transfer RNA is filed under the name Dehalococcoidia bacterium. RNAcentral describes it as "tRNA-Leu". It matches the Rfam family "tRNA". Rfam says of the family: Transfer RNA (tRNA) molecules are approximately 80 nucleotides in length. Their secondary structure includes four short double-helical elements and three loops (D, anti-codon, and T loops). The record is from RNAcentral. RNAcentral also lists the same sequence under 1 other name. Lineage: Bacteria; Bacillati; Chloroflexota; Dehalococcoidia.
GGGGGAGUGGCGAAAUGGCAGACGCGCAUGCCUUAGGAGCAUGUGCCUUAGGGCGUGAGAGUUCGAAUCUCUCCUCCCCCACCA